Triticum aestivum (bread wheat) is the source of this 1905-nucleotide long non-coding RNA. RefSeq lists it as uncharacterized. The record is from RefSeq and is a predicted model, not a curated record. NCBI's taxonomy places the organism in Eukaryota, Viridiplantae, Streptophyta, Magnoliopsida, Poales, Poaceae. The transcript is spliced from 2 exons.
CGCCCAACACAUACCCAACCUCCCUUCUCCCACGACCCAACCCACCUCCACCAUCUUCCUCCUGCCUCGUCCCCAACAUCCUCCCCAACCCGCCCCGCACCUGUGCUCCACCCCGAGCCGCCGCCCUUACCAUCCCACCUUCUCCGACGCACGCACCCACCCCCACCCUCCCCACCGUCUCCGGCGCGGCGCGGCCCACCCCGAGCCGCCAUCCCACCCUCCCCACCGUCUCCGGCGCGGCGCGGCCCACCCCGAGCCGCCGUCCCACCCUCCACACCAUCUCCGGCGUGGCGCGGCCCAUCCCGAGCCACCGUCCCACAAGCCACCAACCACCCUCCCCACCUUCUCCGGUGAGGCCCGCCCCACCUGAGCCGUCGUCCCACCGUCCCACCUUCUCCGGCGGGAUCCGCCUCCCACCCUGCCCAGACACCUAACCCGGCCGUGCGACCGCCGGAUCCGGCGGGAUCCUUCCUCCCGUGCUUGCCCGGCGACGCGUGCAUCGCAAACAGAGGCGAGGUGCCCCCUCACCCCCACCCCCCCACCCCGCGUCCCUGCCCACGAUGGCGCGCCCCGGUGGUCGCCAAAUCUGGGCCAGGAGCGCCUACCCCCGUCCCGAGAUUCAGCUCCUCUGGCUGCAUGGCGCAGGUCCCCCAUUCCCCGGGCGAGCUCUCGUGCUCCCGUGCCCGACGGCGAUCUCUACUGCUUCCCACCCCCUCCGACGAGCUCUGCUGCCUCCCCUCCCCACUAGCGAGCUGGCCUGACGAUGGCCGAGGCUCCUGAUGCAGUUCGUUUCGUGGGUUGUGAUGUGCAGUGUGUGCGGCAUGCAGCUUGGAGCGAGUGGGCAUGCAGCCUCAGAGCCAGCGAUGAUAUUCCCAUGUGUUGGCCGUAGCAUGCGCCCCAUCCUAGCAUGCUGACGGUCAGGCCGCGUUUGCUUGAGGCAGUGGCUCCGGACCAUGGACACAGCCGGAUGCAAGACCCUGCAUCCCACAUCGCCGCCCUUCGACUUCUUCCUCGCAACAAGACGUGCUGUGAGCAAGCGUGUGAGAGUGCAGCUUGCCGUUGCGGAUGCAGUCCGUUGUCCCGGCCAGAUCCAUGGCGCUGGUCGUUCUUUCUCCUACUGCUCUAUGUGAGGUGAGGACGGGUUCUCUGUUGGCAAGGUAAUGCAUUUUUCAGUAUGGUGUGCAGUUCCAUCAGUGUGGUCGUGCGGCACGCAGGCGUGGGUUUGCAAUGUGGUGCCCAUAUACGUGCAGGCCAAGAUGAUGGCCAUAUCCGCUGGGGCUUUUGUAUUCGUGUGUUUAUAUUGUACUCCCAUGGAUGUCAUCCCGUAUUUGUGCGAGUAUUUGUUUGCCUAAUGGCCCAUAGCCAGCUCCACCACAGGGUGUCUAACUCUGUAUGUUCCCAAUGCUGUUCGGUGGGAGAGCAUGUUCCGUGCAGUGCAUUUGGCAUGUUCUUGCAUUUUGUAGUGUUUUCACUUGGUAGCUCCUUUGCUUUUUGUUGCAGCUCACUCAAUAUUUGUUUGCAGUUCAUUGCGAGACUCCAUGGCGCUGGUUGCGCUGCUCCUUUUCUUGUUGCUACGUCUGAGGCGAGGACGGGCUCUGCCACACGGGGAGUGUUUGCGACACCGGCGAAGACGGCGUGGUGGUUCCCUUCUUCCCCAACAACAGAAGUUGCGGUGCGGCUAUGUAAUUGUUGAAGUUCAGGAAUAUGUUUGGUGUCUUUUCAGAUUUCGUUUGGGCGCAACACUGCAGUUCGCGUGGGUCUUCACAGCGGUUCGGACGGGUGUGCAGUAGGGUGCUUGCAGUGUGAUGGCGCGAUGCUCACGGUCUUGAAUAAAUUUGUUUGAUGCGAUGGUGCGAUGGCGCAAAUUGUUUCAUGUGAUCUAAAAUUUAGUCGACUACGUCAACA